RNAcentral lists this ribosomal RNA (1488 nucleotides) under Klebsiella pneumoniae. Its description in RNAcentral is "partial 23S ribosomal RNA". It matches the Rfam family "Bacterial large subunit ribosomal RNA", at positions 1 to 1527 of the family's 2925-position model. RNAcentral also lists the same sequence under 1 other name. Lineage: Bacteria; Pseudomonadati; Pseudomonadota; Gammaproteobacteria; Enterobacterales; Enterobacteriaceae. The record is from RNAcentral.
GGGUUGUGAGGUUAAGCGACUAAGCGUACACGGUGGAUGCCCUGGCAGUCAGAGGCGAUGAAGGACGUGCUAAUCUGCGAAAAGCGUCGGUAAGGUGAUAUGAACCGUUAUAACCGGCGAUGUCCGAAUGGGGAAACCCAGUGCAAUUCGUUGCACUAUCGUUAACUGAAUACAUAGGUUAACGAGGCGAACCGGGGGAACUGAAACAUCUAAGUACCCCGAGGAAAAGAAAUCAACCGAGAUUCCCCCAGUAGCGGCGAGCGAACGGGGAGCAGCCCAGAGUCUGAAUCAGCUUGUGUGUUAGUGGAACGGUCUGGAAAGUCCGACGGUACAGGGUGAUAGUCCCGUACACCAAAAUGCACAGGUUGUGAACUCGAAGAGUAGGGCGGGACACGUGGUAUCCUGUCUGAAUAUGGGGGGACCAUCCUCCAAGGCUAAAUACUCCUGACUGACCGAUAGUGAACCAGUACCGUGAGGGAAAGGCGAAAAGAACCCCGGCGAGGGGAGUGAAAAAGAACCUGAAACCGUGUACGUACAAGCAGUGGGAGCACCUUCGGGUGUGACUGCGUACCUUUUGUAUAAUGGGUCAGCGACUUAUAUUCUGUAGCAAGGUUAACCGUAUAGGGGAGCCGCAGGGAAACCGAGUCUUAACUGGGCGUUAAGUUGCAGGGUAUAGACCCGAAACCCGGUGAUCUAGCCAUGGGCAGGUUGAAGGUUGGGUAACACUAACUGGAGGACCGAACCGACUAAUGUUGAAAAAUUAGCGGAUGACUUGUGGCUGGGGGUGAAAGGCCAAUCAAACCGGGAGAUAGCUGGUUCUCCCCGAAAGCUAUUUAGGUAGCGCCUCGUGAACUCAUCUUCGGGGGUAGAGCACUGUUUCGGCUAGGGGGUCAUCCCGACUUACCAACCCGAUGCAAACUACGAAUACCGAAGAAUGUUAUCACGGGAGACACACGGCGGGUGCUAACGUCCGUCGUGAAGAGGGAAACAACCCAGACCGCCAGCUAAGGUCCCAAAGUCAUGGUUAAGUGGGAAACGAUGUGGGAAGGCACAGACAGCCAGGAUGUUGGCUUAGAAGCAGCCAUCAUUUAAAGAAAGCGUAAUAGCUCACUGGUCGAGUCGGCCUGCGCGGAAGAUGUAACGGGGCUAAACCAUGCACCGAAGCUGCGGCAGCGACACUAUGUGUUGUUGGGUAGGGGAGCGUUCUGUAAGCCUGCGAAGGUGUGCUGUGAGGCAUGCUGGAGGUAUCAGAAGUGCGAAUGCUGACAUAAGUAACGAUAAAGCGGGUGAAAAGCCCGCUCGCCGGAAGACCAAGGGUUCCUGUCCAACGUUAAUCGGGGCAGGGUGAGUCGACCCCUAAGGCGAGGCCGAAAGGCGUAGUCGAUGGGAAACAGGUUAAUAUUCCUGUACUUGGUGUUACUGCGAAGGGGGGACGGAGAAGGCUAUGUUAGCCGGGCGACGGUUGUCCCGGUUUAAGCAUGUAGGCUG